RNAcentral lists this long non-coding RNA (1227 nucleotides) under Anser brachyrhynchus (Pink-footed goose). Its description in RNAcentral is "lncRNA (ENSABRG00000004939.1)". The record is from RNAcentral. Lineage: Eukaryota; Metazoa; Chordata; Aves; Anseriformes; Anatidae.
AUGCUGGGGUCUGGCCUAUGCCUAUUGAGCUGCAAUCGAUGCUACUAUAAACCUAGUGACAUACCCUGCGGCCACUCCAAGUCCUGUGACAGGCCCAAUGGUAACUCUAACCCCUGCAGCCACUCCAACCCCUACGCUGGACCCUGCAGCCUCUCCAGCCCCUGCAGCCUCUCCAGCUCCUGUGGCCACUCCAGCCCCUGCGGCCAUUCCAACCCCUGUGAUGGGCCCAGUGGUCAUUCCAGCUCCUGUGACGGGCCCAGCGGUUGUUCCAACACCUAUGACAGGCCCAGCGGUCGUUCCAGCUCCUGUGACAGGCCCAGCAGUUGUUCCAACCCCUGUGGCAGGCCCUGUGGCUGGGUCAGAGAAACGAGCUGUAGCAGUGUAAGUUGCCCCUGUAGGCAAGGUGAAAAAAGGUUUAGGGAGUCAGAUCGUUUAGAACACAGAGAAGCUCCUGCUAAGACUAAGCAUGGAGAAGACGAGGCCGGCCCAUCAGAGGAACAGGAGGAUGAAGAUGAAGAUGUCACAAAACCAGCAGUAACUACCCAAACCCUAUACCAGCGUGAGCUACGAGAUGUGCGAAAAGAUUUUGGUCGCUGCAUAGGUGAGCAGCUUGUCACCUGGCUGCUCUGGUGCUGGGAUGCCGGAGCCAAUUGUCUGGAAUUAGAGGGCAGUGAAGCCAGGCGCCUGGGAUCCCUUGCUAGAGAUGCAGGCAUUGACAAAGCAAUUGGAGAUGGAGCAAGAUCUCACAGCCUCUGGAGGCGUCUCCUGUCAGCUGUGAAGGAAAUGCAUCCCUUCAAGGAAGAACUUGUAUGUCUACCAGGCAAGUGGACCACUAUAGAGAAGGGAAUCCAGUACCUGAGGGAAUUAGCCGUACGGGAGGUGACUUACAGAGACCUAGACAACGAACAAAUAUCCACAGAUCCAGAUGAAGUCCAGUGUACACGACCCAUGUGGCGGAAGUUUGUACGGAGUGCACCAUCAUCAUAUGCCAGCUCAUUGGCAGUAAUGACCUGGAAAGAGGAUGAGGAACCCACAGUGGAUGAAGUGGCUAAACAACUCCGGCAGUACGAAGAAAGUCUCUCCUCUUCCCUACAGGCCUGCAUCUCGGCUGUGGAGAAACUUUCUGAAGAGUUCUACCAACCUAAAGAGAGUUUAUUUUCCUCCCCACCUGUACAAACCAGUGUCUCAGCUAUUAGGGGUAAGCGUCCAUCUGUGCAAGGAAGAUAA